Molecule: ribosomal RNA, 322 nt
Filed under: uncultured Cercomonas
Lineage: Eukaryota; Cercozoa; Cercomonadida; Cercomonadidae
Description: SSU rRNA
Rfam family: Eukaryotic small subunit ribosomal RNA (bases 63-322)
Source: RNAcentral
GAUUUCUGGUACGGCGCACUUGGCCCGUCUCGGUUACGAGCAUGUGUGCCGGUGUGCGCCUGCCAUCCAUCUAGAGAACGCUGUCGCCCUUCACUGGGUGGGCAGUGGUAUCUAGAUCUUUUACUUUGAAAAAAUUAGAGUGUUUAAAGCAGGCUUGUGCUAUGAAUACAUUAGCAUGGAAUAAUAAUUUAGGACUUUGGUCUUAUUUUGUUGGUUUCUAGGACUAAAGUAAUGAUUGAUAGGGAUAGUUGGGGGUGCUAGUAUUCAGCGGCCAGAGGUGAAAUUCUUGGAUUCGCUGAAGACUAACUUAUGCGAAAGCAUU